CAACGUAGCAUGCAUUUACUGGCACAAUAGGAACUAUGUUCUGUGUUCUAUGUCCUGUUUUGUGGUAUUUGUCUUGUGGCCAGAAUUACUGUGUUUAAAAUUUUCAUAGGACAGUCUAGUUCAAAAUCAAA
Gopherus evgoodei (Goodes thornscrub tortoise) is the source of this 131-nucleotide long non-coding RNA. RefSeq lists it as uncharacterized. Lineage: Eukaryota; Metazoa; Chordata; Testudines; Testudinidae. The transcript has 3 exons. The record is from RefSeq and is a predicted model, not a curated record.